Molecule: ribosomal RNA, 360 nt
Filed under: Triticum aestivum (bread wheat)
Lineage: Eukaryota; Viridiplantae; Streptophyta; Magnoliopsida; Poales; Poaceae
Description: partial small subunit ribosomal RNA
Rfam family: Small nucleolar RNA Z107/R87 (bases 54-157)
Source: RNAcentral
AUGUCUUCCAGUUGGUUCUGUUUUGUUUACAUACUUGGUUCUUUUCCUUGGGUGAUGGCAGUGACGAUUUGCAAAUAUUCAAGCUCAACAGACCAAAUCACAGGUUUUCUCUCAGGAGUUGAUUUGUAUGCCGAUUAUCCCGCUGAACCGAGCCAUCCGUACCUAAUUUUUUCUGCCGUUCAUUGUUCUUUUCGUUGUCCUUUUGUGUUUGAUUUUGUUUGUUGUUUUGGGCAACGUAGUUGCGAUGAGGAUAACAAGCUCCCUCUUCUGAAAGCAUUGACGACCUCGCUGGCAGAAUCGAACCAAUUAAAUAUUGCCACCACUGAGCAACUUGAUCUUAAUCUCUUUUUGCUUUGUUGA